CGGGAUGUGGCGCAGUUGGUAGCGCACUUGGUUUGGGACCAAGGGGUCCUCCGUUCGAGUCGGAGUAUCCCGA
RNAcentral lists this transfer RNA (73 nucleotides) under Bacteroidales bacterium. Its description in RNAcentral is "tRNA-Pro". It matches the Rfam family "tRNA". From Rfam's summary of the family: Transfer RNA (tRNA) molecules are approximately 80 nucleotides in length. Their secondary structure includes four short double-helical elements and three loops (D, anti-codon, and T loops). The record is from RNAcentral. RNAcentral also lists the same sequence under 1 other name. Lineage: Bacteria; Pseudomonadati; Bacteroidota; Bacteroidia; Bacteroidales.